RNAcentral lists this small RNA (96 nucleotides) under Sorex araneus (European shrew). Its description in RNAcentral is "7SK RNA (ENSSARG00000019556.1)". It matches the Rfam family "7SK RNA", at positions 6 to 101 of the family's 331-position model. From Rfam's summary of the family: 7SK was discovered as an abundant small nuclear RNA in the mid-70s but a possible function has only recently been suggested. Two independent studies have found that 7SK RNA binds the CDK9/cyclin T complex (known as elongation factor P-TEFb). P-TEFb activates transcription by phosphorylating the C-terminal domain of RNA polymerase II. Lineage: Eukaryota; Metazoa; Chordata; Mammalia; Eulipotyphla; Soricidae. The record is from RNAcentral.
UGAGGGCGAUCUAGCCUCAACAUCUGUCACCCCAUUGAUUUCCAGGGUUGAUUCAGAUGAUUUGGUGGGCUAGACGGGUGUCCCCUUUCAUCCUCA